Molecule: long non-coding RNA, 1404 nt
Organism: Oncorhynchus tshawytscha (Chinook salmon)
Lineage: Eukaryota; Metazoa; Chordata; Actinopteri; Salmoniformes; Salmonidae
Source: Ensembl
UGUGAUGAAAACGAAUUGUUCUGAUCAUCGAUGGCUGGUUUUGUAUGAAAAAUGUCAGACAGAGAGAAAGGAAUGAGUGGUGCAUAUUUUGAGACAAGAAUGGACACUUUUACAGGUCCAGGAGGGUAAUUAGUUUAUUUCACAAUUACAGGACACGGUACACAUAUAAAAAUGUACCAUUAUCCGUUCUAUAUAUAGCCAACUAUUUAUUACCUUGUAACCCCCACCUUCUUUUCUCGCUCACUCAGAGGUUACUAUCGGACAAACCAUCCUCCUCGGCGAAUCAACUGUGCUGCCCACAUUGCAUACUGGCAGGCAGGCGUGCCUUUGUUUUCAACACAGCUGUGUUUCUGUAUUCUUUAACACGUACUUUCCGGAUAAUGGGGACGUGCAGGCAGUCUCUGUUCCCAUUGUAUCGUGGUCUUCUUGACGCACCGUUAUUGAGGACCUGAGCCCUUAGGAUCAUGCCUCAAGACUACCUGGCAUGAUGACACCUUGCUGUCCCCAAUCCACCUGGCCGUGCUGCUGCUCCAGUUUCAUCUGUUCUGCCUGCGGCUAUGGAACCCUGACCUGUUCACCGGACGUGCUAACUGUCCCAGACCUGCUGUUUUCAACUCUCUAGAGACAGCAGGAGCGGUAGAGAUACUCUUAAUGAUCGGCUAUGAAAAGCCAACUGACAUUUACUCCUGAGGUGCUGACUUGCUGCACCCUCGACAACUACUGUGAUUAUUAUUAUUUGACCAUGCUGGUCAUUUAUGAACAUUUGAACAUCUUGGCCAUGAUCUGUUAUAAUCUCCACCCGGCACAGGCAGAAGAGGACUGGCCACCCCUCAUAGCCUGGUUUCUCUCUGGGUUUCUUCCUAGGUUUUGGCCUUUCUAUGGAGUUUUUCCUAGCCACCGUGCUUCUACACCUGCAUUGCUUGCUGUUUGGGGUUUUAGGCUGGGUGUCUGUACAGCAAUUUGAGAUAUCAGCUGACGUAAGAAGGUCUAUAUAAAUACAUUUGAUUUGAUUCAGCCGGGGGCCGAUUAUUAUUACACUGAGCUGCAGGUAGCCUAGUGGUUAGAGCAGUGGACUAGUUACCGAAAGGUUGCAAGAUCGAAUCCCUGAGCUGACAAGGUACAAAUCUGUCGUUCUGCCCCGGAACUAGGCAGUUAACCCACUGUUCCUAGGCCAUCAUUGAAAAUAAGAAUUUACCUUACCUUAAAUAAAGGUUAAAAAAACAUAAAAAUAAAGGAGACUACAUAAACCAUUUAAACUGGAACAACCAUUUCAGUAACGGGUGCAAUACAUCUAACUGAUUUGAUUAGUUUAGAAAAAGUAUGUUGUGCAUCUUUGUGUUGCAUGUGAUUAAUUAAUCAAUAAAUGUACUUGCAAAAACAAACCUAAAAAAAAUCUACCGGGCC